This 499-nucleotide ribosomal RNA is filed under the name uncultured bacterium. RNAcentral describes it as "partial 16S ribosomal RNA". It matches the Rfam family "Bacterial small subunit ribosomal RNA", at positions 28 to 507 of the family's 1533-position model. The record is from RNAcentral.
GACGAACGCUGGCGGCGUGCCUAAUACAUGCAAGUCGAGCGAAGUUUUUCUGGUGCUUGCACUAGAAAAACUUAGCGGCGAACGGGUGAGUAACACGUAAAGAACCUGCCUCAUAGACUGGGACAACUAUUGGAAACGAUAGCUAAUACCGGAUAACAGUAUUUCUCGCAUGAGAGAUAUUUAAAAGUUGGUUAUGCUAACACUAUGAGAUGGCUUUGCGGUGCAUUAGCUAGUUGGUGGGGUAAAGGCCCACCAAGGCGACGAUGCAUAGCCGACCUGAGAGGGUGAUCGGCCACACUGGGACUGAGACACGGCCCAGACUCCUACGGGAGGCAGCAGUAGGGAAUCUUCCGCAAUGGGCGAAAGCCUGACGGAGCAACGCCACGUGAGUGAAGAAGGAUUUCGGUUCGUAAAGCUCUGUUGUUAGGGAAGAAUGGAUAUGUAGUAACUAUACAUGUAAGAGACGGUACCUAACCAGAAAGCCACGGCUAACUACGUG